Molecule: unclassified non-coding RNA, 244 nt
Filed under: plant metagenome
Description: partial contains small subunit ribosomal RNA, internal transcribed spacer 1, and 5.8S ribosomal RNA
Source: RNAcentral
UCUCCGUUGGUGAACCAGCGGAGGGAUCAUUACCGAGUUUACAACUCCCAAACCCAAUGUGAACCAUACCGAACUGUUGCCUCGGCGGGGUCACGCCCCGGGGGCGUGGCAGCCCCGGAACCAGGCGCCCGCCGGAGGGACCAACCAAACCCUUUCAGUAGUCCCCUCGCGGACGUUAUUGUUACAGCUCUGAGCAAAAAUUCAAAAUGAAUCAAAACUUUCAACAACGGAUCUCUUGGUUCUG